RNAcentral lists this ribosomal RNA (584 nucleotides) under uncultured bacterium. Its description in RNAcentral is "partial 16S ribosomal RNA". It matches the Rfam family "Bacterial small subunit ribosomal RNA", at positions 355 to 1375 of the family's 1533-position model. The record is from RNAcentral.
UGGGGAAUUUUGGACAAUGGGCGAAAGCCUGAUCCAGCAAUGCCGCGUGUGUGAAGAAGGCCUUCGGGUUGUAAAGCACUUUUGUCCGGAAAGAAAUCCUUGGCUCUAAUACAGUCGGGGGAUGACGGUACCGGAAGAAUAAGCACCGGCUAACUACGUGCCAGCAGCCGCGGUAAUACGUAGGGUGCAAGCGUUAAUCGGAAUUACUGGGCGUAAAGCGUGCGCAGGCGGCUUGCUAAGACCGAUGUGAAAUCCCCGGGCUCAACCUGGGAACUGCAUUGGUGACUGGCAGGCUAGAGUAUGGCGGAGGGGGUAGAAUUCCACGUGUAGCAGUGAAAUGCGUAGAGAUGUGGAGGAAUACCGAUGGCGAAGGCAGCCCCCUGGGCCAAUACUGACGCUCAUGCACGAAAGCGUGGGGAGCAAACAGGAUUAGAUACCCUGGUAGUCCACGCCCUAAACGAUGUCAACUAGUUGUUGGGGAUUCAUUUCCUUAGUAACGUAGCUAACGCGUGAAGUUGACCGCCUGGGGAGUACGGUCGCAAGAUUAAAACUUAAAGGAAUUGACGGGGUCAUAGCUGUUUCCU